AAAAGAUGAAACUUCAAAUUUAGAGUUUUGAAGUUACUAUUUGGAGAACAAAAAAAACUCUAUAUUUAAAGUGAUUGAGUUUCUUUUGCAGAUGCUCUAAGAAUUGGCUUCACUUCUAUAAUUUUUCAUAAAUAUAUUAAAAACAUAUAAAUGAAUUUCUCUAAAAUAAAAAUGUUAUUUAUCUACUUAUAAAAGGUUAGUAAUUUUUUUAAAGAGGAGAUCCUUAUCGUUGCAAUGCUGUUUCUGGUGUCGAUUCUCUUGAAAACCAGAUAGAGCAAGAUUAGUUCUUAAAACAAUAGUGAUGAAAGAAAAAAAAUGUUACUUUCCAAAAAAAAAAAAAGAGAAAGGUUAGUUGUUUUAAUGAAAAUUGUCACAAAUACCACAUUCAUAGUACAAUUUUUCAUGUUUACACUAACCACUUUUACCAUUAUUUUUAAAAAAAGGUAAAAGACAUUAUACUCC
This 462-nucleotide long non-coding RNA is filed under the name Brassica rapa (field mustard). RNAcentral describes it as "long non-coding RNA (BRAP_LNC004233)". Lineage: Eukaryota; Viridiplantae; Streptophyta; Magnoliopsida; Brassicales; Brassicaceae. The record is from RNAcentral.